Raphanus sativus (radish) is the source of this 1279-nucleotide RNA transcript. RefSeq lists it as uncharacterized. The transcript has 4 exons. Lineage: Eukaryota; Viridiplantae; Streptophyta; Magnoliopsida; Brassicales; Brassicaceae. The record is from RefSeq and is a predicted model, not a curated record.
AUGCUUUCUGUCUGCUUUUAUGUUUGUGUUUUGUUGUGUGGCUGUUAUUUGCAAGAAAUGGCUUCGUGUGCCAUUUUCUCAAACCCAGCAAAUACCGUCAAGAUCUUGAAGAGAAGAAGUCCGUACAGUGGUCUGUUUGGUUGGAACUCCGGCGAGAAACUAGACAAUCUCCGACCGCCACAGAAAGUGGUCUACCAUGACGACGUCCAACUUCCUUUCUCUCUUUCGUUGGUAAACAAGACCUUCCUAAAGGGAAGAGAACUAAAAUGUUGCUACAAAGCAAGCAUCGAUGGGUUUAGUGCAACAAAGUUCCACGAACGUUGUGAUUUCCAAGGUCCAUGUGUUAUUAUAGCCUACACCAGAGACAUGUCUUUCAAGUUUGGCGGAUUUAGCCCUGAAGGCUAUCGAAGCACUGAUGAUUAUUACGAUACAUUGGACGCUUUCCUCUUCUAUUGGCUAGACGAUAGCGAUGAACCAAUCGUACUUUCUAAGGUUGGAGGAAGUGGGGCGGCGCUGUUUGAUUAUGCACGCGGAGGGCCUCAGUUUGGAGCUGACGGGCUUCUUAUUGGACCUCCUUUAGCUCCUGUGAUGGGCGGGUUUGCGGGUCCGGAUACGAACUCAGGGAUUGGUGAUUUGAGGAUGGCUAAAUCAAGACUGGGUUUGUCAUAUGCUAAGAGGAAAGAUGGGAAGGAAUCUAUCUUUGGAGAUGAAAUUGCACUAUCGGUCUCCUCUGCGUUUCUUCGACUCCUCGAAGUGUGUUGCAAAGAGAAACUCAUCUCCGCUUGUGAAAUUGGUUGUGAGAAGAGUUCGUAAAUGUGACCGGCGUGAACGACCAGAGCCUCAUCUCCUUCAUAUCGCGAUUAGGUUAAGAUCUGUUGCAAUAUUGUUCUUAAAGCUGAAUUUUAUAUACGAUGGACUCUGGUUGGGUUGCAAGUUCCAUGGCGUUCUGAAAAAAGGAGUCAUCCGCGGAUUGCAUCUUUCCCAUCAAAGCUUGCAUGUGACUAAAACUUAACACCAAAGAUUCGUCAGGGUAAUGCCCGAUCCCUUUUUCUUUAUAGAGACCCAAACCGUUUUGUGUCGGAGGAUUCUGGUCAAAGAACUCUCUAACGAAUGCUUCACCAUGUUUUGCCAUUAUGGCCAUUCGACUCCAAUAGAAACACUGCAAACUAAUUAAUUUUUUUUUUGUAUACAUAACUACUUACAACUUUUUAGCAAACAUUGAAACUUGUUACAGUAUUACAUCACAAUCUGAUAUUUUACAAGAUUUUAUUUCAUCUUA